This 253-nucleotide ribosomal RNA is filed under the name uncultured prokaryote. RNAcentral's name for it is "partial 16S ribosomal RNA". It matches the Rfam family "Bacterial small subunit ribosomal RNA", at positions 524 to 776 of the family's 1533-position model. The record is from RNAcentral.
UACGGAGGAUGCGAGCGUUAUCCGGAUUCAUUGGGUUUAAAGGGUGCGCAGGCGGGUUGGUAAGUCAGUGGUGAAAUUUUGCAGCUUAACUGUAAACGUGCCUUUGAUACUGCCAGUCUUGAGUUUGGUCAAGGUAGGCGGAAUGUGUAAUGUAGCGGUGAAAUGCUUAGAUAUUACACAGAACACCGAUUGCGAAGGCAGCUUACUGGGCCACGACUGACGCUCAUGCACGAAAGCGUGGGGAGCAAACAGG